GAAAAAAACAGCUGCGCGAGUGUUUACUUCACAGAAUCCAAAAAACAACAGCUUUGUCAUGCAGCAUAAUCAUAAAUUGUGACUGCCAAAACGUGGAUAUUUCAACCAUGCGGGUCGCGGGCGUACUGGAGCCUAUCCCAGAUGACUCUGGGCGAGAGGUGGGGGUCGACUCUGAACUGGUCGCCAGCCAAUCGCAGGGAAACCGGAGUACCCGGAGAAAACCCACACAGGCACAGAGAGAAGAUGCAAACUCCACACAGGCAAAGCCGGAUUUGAACCCAGGUCCUCAGAACUGUGAGGCAGAUUUGCUAACCAGUCAG
Molecule: long non-coding RNA, 320 nt
Organism: Phyllopteryx taeniolatus (common seadragon)
Lineage: Eukaryota; Metazoa; Chordata; Actinopteri; Syngnathiformes; Syngnathidae
Exons: 3
Source: RefSeq, a predicted model, not a curated record